GGGCGGUUAGCUCAGUUGGUAGAGCGCGUCAUUGACGUUGACGAUGUCACAGAUUCGAAUUCUGUACCGCCCA
Molecule: non-coding RNA, 73 nt
Organism: Candidatus Nomurabacteria bacterium
Lineage: Bacteria; Candidatus Nomuraibacteriota
Source: Rfam